Molecule: ribosomal RNA, 1023 nt
Filed under: Macrobrachium rosenbergii (giant freshwater prawn)
Lineage: Eukaryota; Metazoa; Arthropoda; Malacostraca; Decapoda; Palaemonidae
Description: eukaryotic LSU rRNA
Rfam family: Eukaryotic large subunit ribosomal RNA (bases 647-1023)
Source: RNAcentral
AUCACUCGGCUCGUGCGUCGAUGAAGACCGCAGCAAAAUGCGUGUCAGCAUGUGAAUCGCAAGAUUAUGAGAUGCAUCGACCAGUUGAACGCACAUUGCGGCGACGGCACUGCCCAGUGUUGUCGCCACUCCCGGACGAGUGUCUGCAAAGAAAUGAAGCAUCCAUCUGUGUUUUUGUCAUGCUCUGCCAUCUAGGCCAAGUAUGAGAGAGAGAGUCGGUUGGUCUUGACGGGGAGUUUUUGACAGAGCGCAGCGAGUUGGGGAGUUCGGUUGCUGCGACCGUUCCCUUAAGUUUGAGUUUGAUCUUGUGGUUUUGUUGGCCAGAGAGAGAGACAAGUAUGCCAAGAGAAUGACAAUGAUCUUGUUCCUGCCUGGAGAGAGAGUGUUUGGCAGAGUGCUGACCUAGCCCGAAAGCAGACCAUGGCACCAGCACCAGCGGAGGCACCGCGCACGCACGCACGCAGGCGCCGUUGAGAGAGACGGCCGGAGAGAGAGAGAGAGAGAGAGAGAAAACAUGUGCCUGCCAAUGAAUCAAUCCAGCCGCCGGUGAGAAUGUGGGCGGCUGGAUUUUUUAUUUUUUGUGUCGGUGCCGGCCGGUGGUGUCUUUUGGUGUUUAGCGGCGCGGGGAAGGUUGGGUUGGCUGUUAGGACCUCGUCCGUGGGGAGACUACCCGCCAAAUUUAAGCAUAUUAAUAAGCGGAGGAAAAGAAACCAACCGGGAUUCCCUGAGUAAGGGCGACUGAAAGGGGAUGAGCCCAGCGCAUAACCUUGCGGUCUUGUUGUGGCCGUCGAGGGGUGUUGCGUUUUGGUGGAUCCGUACCGCUCGAGUUGCUGACCGCCUAAGUCAUUGCUUGAAUGCAGCCCCGAGGAGGGUGGUAGGCCCGUGUGGCGGCGCCUGUAAAAAGGUUGGAGGCAAUUCGGGCGGAGGGGUCUUUACCGUAGAGUCGGGUUGCUUAGUACUGCAGCCCUAAGUAGGUGGUAAACUCCAUCUAAGGCUAAAUACUACCACGAGACCGAUAGCGAA